GCUAGCAGCCAUAUCACCUGCAACUCACAACUGGCAACCCACUGAAGCUAAGCAGGUGUGAGACUGGUCAGUACCUGCAUGGGAGACCUCCUGGGAAAAAUUAAGGUUGCUGCUGAAA
RNAcentral lists this ribosomal RNA (118 nucleotides) under Lepisosteus oculatus (spotted gar). The record is from RNAcentral. Lineage: Eukaryota; Metazoa; Chordata; Actinopteri; Semionotiformes; Lepisosteidae.